GCCAGGUGCAGUGGUGCACACCUGUAAUCCCAAAGGCUCAGGGGGCUGAAGUAGGAGGAUCACGAGUUCAAAACAAGCCUCAGAAAAAGGGAAGUGCUAAGCAACUCAGUGAGACCCUGUUUCAA
This 125-nucleotide small RNA is filed under the name Marmota monax (woodchuck). The record is from RNAcentral. Lineage: Eukaryota; Metazoa; Chordata; Mammalia; Rodentia; Sciuridae.